CUUCCACGAGAUCUGUGACGUUCCUGAAAGCCGGUGCUCCAUCAGGCUGCGUCCCAGAGCAAAGCAAUGUGACCAGCGUCCCUGCCAACCCUUGAUGGACACAGAACAGAAGGAAUUAGACUUUUCUGUCUUAAGUCACUGAGAUUUGGAAUUGUUUUUCACUGCAGCAUAACCUGGGCUAUCCUGACUGAACAGUCACAGCUAGCGUGGCUGCAGAAUGGCACUCCAUUAAGCAUUGGAGUUACAAAAAUGAAUAAGGCACAGCUCUCGAAUUUGGAGUGAGGGACAUAAGAAGACAUUUACAAGAAUACGUGAUGGACAUGCUCUGCUUCAGCAAGGUUUCAGAAAGGGUCCCAGAGCAAAGAUCGUCUAUGUGAAGCAGAGACACAGCCAACCCUGAAGGAGCCUGCAGUAUGAGUGAGAAGUAAUUCUGUGGCUGUCAUCCAAUAAGACUUUCGGAUUGCUACCAGGGCAUAACCGGGCCUCUACAAAGGUGUGCAUUUCCAGCCCUUGACUUCCAGCACAUUGUGGGAUCGCACUUUCCUGCACCCUUUAAGUAAGACACAGACAUGUGACUAGUUUUUGACCAAUAAUGUGUAAACACAAG
Molecule: long non-coding RNA, 607 nt
Filed under: Equus caballus (horse)
Lineage: Eukaryota; Metazoa; Chordata; Mammalia; Perissodactyla; Equidae
Description: lncRNA (ENSECAG00000044624.1)
Source: RNAcentral